GAUGAACGCUAGCUACAGGCUUAACACAUGCAAGUCGAGGGGAAACGACAUCGAAAGCUUGCUUUUGAUGGGCGUCGACCGGCGCACGGGUGAGUAACGCGUAUCCAACCUGCCCAUCACUUGGGAAUAACCUUGCGAAAGUAAGACUAAUACCCAAUGAUAUCCCACGAAGGCAUCGGAAUGGGAUUAAAGAUUUAUCGGUGAUGGACGGGGAUGCGUCUGAUUAGCUUGUUGGCGGGGUAACGGCCCACCAAGGCAACGAUCAGUAGGGGUUCUGAGAGGAAGGUCCCCCAAAUUGGAACUGGGACACGGUCCAAACCCCUAAGGGAGGCAGCAGUGAGGAAUAGUGGUCAAUGGGCGAGAGCCUGAACCAGCCAAGUAGCGUGCAGGAAGACGGCCCUAUGGGUUGUAAACUGCUUUUAUAAGGGAAUAAAGUGGGUCACGUGUGACUUUUUGCAUGUACCUUAUGAAUAAGGACCGGCUAAUUCCGUG
RNAcentral lists this ribosomal RNA (492 nucleotides) under uncultured bacterium. RNAcentral describes it as "partial 16S ribosomal RNA". It matches the Rfam family "Bacterial small subunit ribosomal RNA", at positions 28 to 507 of the family's 1533-position model. The record is from RNAcentral.